This 465-nucleotide ribosomal RNA is filed under the name uncultured fungus. RNAcentral describes it as "bacterial SSU rRNA". It matches the Rfam family "Eukaryotic small subunit ribosomal RNA", at positions 288 to 747 of the family's 1831-position model. The record is from RNAcentral. Lineage: Eukaryota; Fungi.
CGAUGGUUCAUUCAAAUUUCUGCCCUAUCAACUUUCGAUGGUAGAGUAGUGGUCUACCAUGGUUGGCAACGGGUAACGGGGAAUUAGGGUUCUAUUCCGGAGAGGGAGCCUGAGAAACGGUACCACAUCCAAGGAAGGCAGCAGGCGCGCAAAUUACCCAAUCCCGACACGGGGAGGUAGUGACAAUAAAUACUGAUACAGGGCUCUUUUGGGUCUUGUGAAUUUGGAAUGAGUACAAUUUAAAUCCCUUAACGAGGAACAAUUGGAGGGCAAGUCUGGUGCCAGCAAACCGCGGUAAAAUUCCAGCUCCAAUAGCGUAUAUUAAAGUUGUUGCAGUUAAAAAGCUCGUAGUUUGAACCCUUUGGGCCUGGCUUGGGCCGGUCCGCUCACCGCGUGGCAACUGGUCCGGCCGGGUCUUUCCUUCCUUGGGGAGCCGAUGGCCCUUCACUUGGGUGGUUGUCCGGG